CGUCUCCAACCUCGGGAAAGGAGAGAUCUACUUCAUCCCGAUUUCACUCAGUUACUUGAAUUUAAAUUUUCUAGAUGUCAUGGUGGGAUUUGAAUUCAUAUCUUUGGAUCAAUAGGUAAAAUUUGGUGCUGCACACCAUAUGACAUCGUUAACUGCGUGACUGAGGACAGACAAACGUCAACUGCACAAAGGAGAAUAGCACCCAGAAGUGUUUGUGCUAAUUAUCCCGAUGUCACUAGUCAACCCUGAAAUGAGAAAAAUGGGUCCAAUUUCUAGGAUCCAAUAGCCCAACGUGAACUUACUGCAUGCAGGCAUGAGCCACUUCAUUUGCUGAGGAGUAGCAGGUGGAACUGAACAUUGUGCAAUCAAGAACAAACAUUAUUAUAGGAGGAAGGUCAUUGACAAUGCAGCUGGAGAUGAUUGGAUCCAGGACAUUCUUCAGAGGACCUCCUACAGUGACAGCCUGCAGCUGGGAUGAUUGACCUCCAACAACUGCAGCUAUGUUUGUUUGUUUGAGGUAUGACUCCGCCAUUGGACUGAUUUCCCUUUGAUCACGAUUGACUUCAGUUUUACCAGGGCACUGUAAUGCCACACUCAGUCAAAUGCUGGCUCAAUGUCAGAGACAGUCAGCCCUACCUCACCUCCAGUACUUGGCUCUUUGGUCCAUAUUUGGUCCCAGGCAGUGAUGAGAUCUGGAGCUGAGAAGUCCUGGGAAAACUCAAACUGAGUAUUGGUGAAUCUGAUUUUUGUAUAUUUCUCUUUUUCCUGUUUUCAGGUCUGGUCCAUUCCGGAAGGGGAAACAUUUCUGUCCUCUUCUCAGAUGGUAACUGGUCUAAUGAGUGUUUCCAGCCUUGUCUGUUUUUGUUCCAUGUUUCCAACAGUUGUAGUAUGUAAAGACACUAAUUAUGUUCACAUCUGGUGUAUACAGCAAAACAGAGCCUGACUAAACCCACUCACCACACCCAACACGUUCCAGAUGGAGCUGAAUGUACAGCAAAAACCUUAUCCAGACAUGAAUACUCCAUGGGCUCAGUAUGAAAAGGAGACACAAAGACUACAGAUGCUGGAAUCUAGAGCAACAAACUAUCUACUGGAGGAACUCAGCAGGUUGAGCAGAAUCUGUGUUGGGGAGGGGGUUGUUGAGGGGGAAGGAAUUGUCAACAUUUUGGGUCGAAACCCUGCAUCAGGGUCCUGCUCGACCUGCUGAGUUCCUGCAGCAGAUUGCUAGCUCAGUGUGAGGGUGCAUUACAAUAUCCAGUCACAUAGGUGACUGAAGUUCAUGAGAGUUGAAUUUGGCAUGAGAGAAGUCUGCUUCAGUGUGUGUCUGUGUAUCUGUGUCUCUAUAUGUGUGUGUGUGAGAGAGAGGAAAAAAAGAGAUGGUGUAUGGUGGUGUGUGUGGUGGGGAGGGGAAUGGGUGUUGGGGACUGUGCACCUCUUUCAGUUUUUGGCAGACUGUUGUGGUGUGGAGGGUGUUUGUGUGAAGUGUGUAGUGGUUGUGUGUGUGUUUGUGUAUGGGGUUUGUGUGUAUAUUUGGGGGGUUUUGUGUGUGGAUGUAUGUAUAGGGGUUUGUAGUGAGUUCUACGAGUAUGUGUAGAGUGAAUUAGAGUGGUUUAGAAAGAAUGGAUCAGACAGGGCUCUGGAGAGUUACAAGGUAGCCAGGAGGGAGCUUAAGAAUGGACUUAGGAGAGCUAGAAGGGGGCAUGAAAAGGCCUUGGCAAGUAGGAUUAAGGAAAACCCCAAGGCAUUCUACACGUAUGUGAAGAAUAGGAGGAUGACUAGAGUGAGGGUAGAACAGAUCAGGGAUAAAAGAGGAAACAUGUGCUUGGUCAGAAGAGGUAGGGGAGGUCCUUAAUGAAUACUUUGCUUCAGUAUUCACCAGUGAGAGAGACCUUGAAGUUUGUGAGGAUGCUAGGGCAUGUCAAUGUAAGGAAAGAGGAUGUGCUGGAACUUUUGAAAAACAUUAGGAUGGAUAAAUCACUGGGGCCGGAUGGGAUAUAUCCAAGGUUAUUAUGAGAAGUGAGGGAAGGAAUUGUUGCGCCUUUGCCAAUGAUGUUUGCGUCCUCACUGGCCACAGGAGUCGUGCCAGAUGAUUGGAGGGUGGCAAUUGUUGUUCCUUUGUUUAAGAAAGGGAGUAGGGAAAACCCUGGGAAUUACAGGCCAGUGAGUCUUACUUCAGUGGUCGGCAAAUUACUGGAGAAGGUUCUUAGAGACAGGAUUUAUGGGCACUUGGAGAAGCAUAGUCUGAUUAGAGACAGUCAGCAUGGCUUUGUGCCUCACGAGCCUGAUUGAAUUCUUUGAGGAUGUGACAAAACACAUUGAUGAAGGUAGAACAGUGGAUGUGGUGUACAUGGAUUGUAGUAAGGCAUUUAAUAAGGUUCCUCAUGGAAGGCUCAUUCAGAAGGUCAGGAGAUAUGGGAUCCAGUGAAACUUGGCUGUGUGGAUUCAGAAUUAGCUCGCCCAUAGAAGACAGAGGGUGGUGGUUGAUGGAACAUAUUCUGCCUGGAGGUUGGUGGUCAGUGGUGUUCCGCAGGGAUCUGUUCUGGGACCCCUGGUCUUUGUGAUUUUUAUCAAUGACUUGGAUGAGGAUGUGGAAGGGUGGAUUAAUAAGUUUGCUGAUGAUACAAAGGUUGGUGGUGUUGUAGAUAGUGUAGAAGGUUGCUGCAGAUUACAACAGGAUAUUGAUAGAAUGCAGACUUGGGCUGAGAAGUGGCAGAUGGAGUUCAACCCGGAAAGCUGUGAAGUGAUACACUUCGGGAGAUCGAAUUUGAAGGCAGAAUACAAGGUUAAUGGCAGGACUCUUAGCAGCAUGGAGGAACAGAGAGAUCUUGGGGUCCACAUCCAUAGAUCCCUCAAGGUUGCGUGCAGGUUGAUAGGGUUGUGAAGAAGGUGUAUGGUGUGUUGGCCUUCAUUAGUCGGGUAUUGAGUUCAAGAGCCACGAGGUAAUGUUGUAGUUCUAUAGAACUCUGGUUAGACCACACUUGGAAUAUUGUGUUCAGUUCUAGUUGCCUCAUUAUAAGAAGGAUGUGAAAGCUUUAGAGAGGGUGCAGAAGAGAUUUACCAGGAUGCUGUCUGGAUUGGAGAGCAUGUCUUAUGAGGAUAGGUUGAGUGAGUUAAGGCUUUUCUCUUUGGAGAGAAGGAGGCUGAGAGGUGACUUGAUAAAGGUUUACAAGAUGAUAAGAAGCAUAGAUCUAGUGGACAGUCGGGGACCUUUUCCCAGGGUGAAAAUGGCUAACACGAGGGAGCAUAAUUUUAAGGUGAUUGGAGGAAGGUAUAAGGGGGAUGUCAGAGGUAGGUUCUUUACACAAAGAGUGGUGGGUGCAUGGAACACACUGCCAGCUGAGGUUGUGGGGGCAGAUACAUUAGGGACAUUUAAGAGACUCUUAGAAAGCCAUAUGAAUGAUAGAGAAAUGGAGGGGUAUGUGGGAGGGAAGCGUUAGAUAGAUCUUAGAGCAGGAUAAAAUGUCAGCACAACAUCGUGGGCCGAAGAGCCUGUACUGUGCUGUAAUGUUCUAUGUUCUAUGAAUUGGGUAUAAGUGAGUGCCAAAGUGUGUGUGUAAGGAAGUGGUAGAGUGGUAUGUGUGUUUGGGGUGGUAGAGUGGUAUGUGUAUUUGUGUAUGGAGGGCUGUUAGUGUGUGUUUAUGGGUUGUGUUUUGUUGUGGGGGUGGCAGCCAGUGACAAGUGAUCUAGUAAUUAAGCUAUAAGACAAUAAUUUGUUAACAAAGUCAAAAUAAUUAAUGACAACAGUUUAUAUCUAGUGAAAUGCUUGAAAUAAUUUGUAGAAUUGCCGAUCUUUUUACUAUUUAAAACAUUGUCAGUUUGAAAUGCAGUAGCUAGUCCCCGUGAAAUUGUCUGCAUUUUGCUUUGAAACAUUAAUGACUGAAUUCUGGUUUCCCACUAGAAGCUGAUAAUUUUCACCACUCCCUGUUAAUUGACUCUGUAAAACAAAUUCUAGCCUGUCCUGCCAUUUUAUUGCAUAGUGUUAUCUGCAUGUUAGGAAAUAGAUACUUAAUUAAUAGGUUUUAAGA
Pristis pectinata (smalltooth sawfish) is the source of this 4025-nucleotide long non-coding RNA. RefSeq lists it as uncharacterized. The record is from RefSeq and is a predicted model, not a curated record. The transcript is spliced from 4 exons. NCBI's taxonomy places the organism in Eukaryota, Metazoa, Chordata, Chondrichthyes, Rhinopristiformes, Pristidae.